Phragmites australis (common reed) is the source of this 354-nucleotide long non-coding RNA. RefSeq lists it as uncharacterized. The transcript has 3 exons. Lineage: Eukaryota; Viridiplantae; Streptophyta; Magnoliopsida; Poales; Poaceae. The record is from RefSeq and is a predicted model, not a curated record.
ACCUAAAGCCCCGUCCUGUGGACCAACGCCCCCUGUGAGCUGCCCGCGCCCAUCCUCCGGCUGCUCCCCUGUCGUCCUCCGGCUGCCCAUCCUCGAAGCCGGCGCCCCAUCCUCCGACCCGAGCAAAUUGGCAUGCAAACAGAUCCUGGAGGCCGUGCAAAUCCAAAAACUCAGGAUAGCGAGGUACCACUUUUUGAGCAUAGAUGCCAACUGCAAAUAGAAGUAGUUGUGAUCCUUUUCAAAACUUGCAGAUCACAAUAUUGCUCAUUAUAUCUUGCUAAGGGCUUUUCUUCUUCAGCCAAAUUCUGGCACAAAAGCGUGGGGCAGCUGCAGCCAAUGCAGAGAAAUGGUGAG